AUUCUCAUCAGCAUAUAUGCUGGAACCAGAAUGACACAGGAGAGAUUAGCAUGGCCUUACAUAACGAUGAGACCCAGAUUCCUGAAGCAUCCCCUAUUUUU
This 101-nucleotide small nuclear RNA is filed under the name Cricetulus griseus (Chinese hamster). Lineage: Eukaryota; Metazoa; Chordata; Mammalia; Rodentia; Cricetidae. The record is from RNAcentral.